GAUGAACGCUGGCGGCGUGCCUAAUACAUGCAAGUCGAGCGAACAGACGAGGAGCUUGCUCCUCUGACGUUAGCGGCGGACGGGUGAGUAACACGUGGAUAACCUACCUAUAAGACUGGGAUAACUUCGGGAAACCGGAGCUAAUACCGGAUAACAUGUUGAACCGCAUGGUUCAACAGUGAAAGACGGUCUUGCUGUCACUUAUAGAUGGAUCCGCGCCGCAUUAGCUAGUUGGUAAGGUAACGGCUUACCAAGGCAACGAUGCGUAGCCGACCUGAGAGGGUGAUCGGCCACACUGGAACUGAGACACGGUCCAGACUCCUACGGGAGGCAGCAGUAGGGAAUCUUCCGCAAUGGGCGAAAGCCUGACGGAGCAACGCCGCGUGUGUGAUGAAGGUCUUCGGAUCGUAAAACUCUGUUAUUAGGGAAGAACAAAUGUGUAAGUAACUAUGCACGUCUUGACGGUACCUAAUCAGAAAGCCACGGCUAACUACGUG
RNAcentral lists this ribosomal RNA (497 nucleotides) under uncultured bacterium. Its description in RNAcentral is "partial 16S ribosomal RNA". It matches the Rfam family "Bacterial small subunit ribosomal RNA", at positions 28 to 507 of the family's 1533-position model. The record is from RNAcentral.